CACAUUAUGGCCCUUUCUAUAAAUACUCUGAAAUUCACACUCGUGGAUGGAGUCACAAAGCGGUUUGUAGAGCUUGAAGGACCAACGACUGCAUGCGACCAUAGUACUUUUACCUUCUGUGGGCUCCAGGCUGGCAAAGCUUGAAAGGUUUGAUGGUGACACUAAAUCCCUGGGCAGGCAGAGAUGGGCAGAAGCAGUAUAUCAGGAUCACUCCAUUCAACAUGAAAGUUGCAUCUUGCUUGGUUAUUGUUUUUCUUCUCUUGUUAUUCUUAACAAAUUAAAUAACUAUAAUAAUGGGAAAUGACAUAAUUGGUUGAUUGGGUUUCUGGAAACAUAACACAUGUGGCUUUUGACCCAAACAGACUCACAGAGCAAGCAGACAGAGGAAAUAACAGCAAGAGACAGAAUCCUGUAUUAAGCUGGAGUCAGGACAUGGUUGUUAAAAAGGAUGUUACCUCAGCCAUUAUAAAAGCGAAAGGGAUGAGCUGAUUUGGAAAACAAGCAGAAGACAAAAUGGGCUGAAGACUGUAAAUUAUAAAGCUGGGAAAACUGAUGAAGAGGACUAUCUUUUCAAAGAUCAAAUACAGCUAUUUGCAGCAAAACUGUAGGAAACAAGGAGGAAGUGGAAAGAUUACGGGAUCUUCCCUUUCUGGUACAGCUGCUGGAGAAAUCUCUCCUGUUCUCUAUGUCGCACUGAGGUCAAACGAGUGUCAGCUCUUUUAG
RNAcentral lists this long non-coding RNA (723 nucleotides) under Calidris pugnax (ruff). RNAcentral describes it as "lncRNA (ENSCPUG00000010063.1)". The record is from RNAcentral. Lineage: Eukaryota; Metazoa; Chordata; Aves; Charadriiformes; Scolopacidae.